Molecule: ribosomal RNA, 301 nt
Filed under: uncultured bacterium
Lineage: Bacteria
Description: partial 16S ribosomal RNA
Rfam family: Bacterial small subunit ribosomal RNA
Source: RNAcentral
CAGUCGCCGCGGUAAUACGGAGGGAGCUAGCGUUGUUCGGAAUUACUGGGCGUAAAGCGCGCGUAGGCGGUUACUCAAGUCAGAGGUGAAAGCCCGGGGCUCAACCCCGGAACUGCCUUUGAAACUAGGUGACUAGAAUCUUGGAGAGGUCAGUGGAAUUCCGAGUGUAGAGGUGAAAUUCGUAGAUAUUAGGAAGAACACCAGUGGCGAAGGCGGCUCACUGGUCCGGUACUGACGCUGAGGUGCGAAAGCGUGGGGAGCAAACAGGAUUAGAUACCCGGGUAGUCCCUGUCUCUUAUAA